UUUUUUAGGGUUAAAUGUCAACAUUUUAGACAAGUUUUCUAUUUUUAGGGACUGAUGUCAUUUUUUGACGUGUUUACUAUUUUUAGGGACC
RNAcentral lists this microRNA precursor (91 nucleotides) under Populus trichocarpa (black cottonwood). Its description in RNAcentral is "MIR478 microRNA precursor family". It matches the Rfam family "MIR478 microRNA precursor family". The record is from Rfam by way of RNAcentral. Lineage: Eukaryota; Viridiplantae; Streptophyta; Magnoliopsida; Malpighiales; Salicaceae.